Molecule: long non-coding RNA, 2166 nt
Organism: Mobula hypostoma (lesser devil ray)
Lineage: Eukaryota; Metazoa; Chordata; Chondrichthyes; Myliobatiformes; Myliobatidae
Exons: 3
Source: RefSeq, a predicted model, not a curated record
AUCAUUCUACAUGCUCUUGCCUUUUUUUGAAGAUUUGAACGGUUUGGAGAGCGUGGAAUUCUGAGUAGAAGGGAAAAUGAAGACUUUAUCGAAGUACAGGACCGAAGGAUCGAGAGGAGUCGGCAGCGUUUGGCAGUUUAAUAAAGGAUCGACCUUAUUGAGUCUUCGUCGGAGGAGUAGCGACCUGCAUCGAGAUAACUCUUGCCAAAAGAGCAAAGAGUUCAUGCAAAAGUUUGCUUUCUCUAAAAGAAUUUAAGAGGUACAGUGCCGAACGGGUCCUUCCGGUCCACUGAACUGCAUGCCCAACAAGCCACUGAUUGAACACUAACCUGAACAAAGGACAAUUUAAAAUGACCAAUUAACCUACAAUCCAGUAUGCCUUUGGACUGAGGGAGGAACUGGAUCACCCGGAAGAAACCCAUGUGCUCAUGGGAAGGACGUACAAAUUUCUUACAGAAGGUGCUGGAGUUGAAUUCUGAAGUCUGACACUCUUGAGCUGUAAUAGUGCCAUGCUAACCUUUAACCAUGUCUAAUUCGGUAGUAUUAUAAUAAUGCAAGUUAUCCAAUGGGUAAUUUUAGUAGCUCAAUUAUGUUAAGCAAGUAUUUGGAAAUAGCCUAUACCCAAGACAAAACUGUCCACUGGAACUGCAAGAGAUAUAGAAGCUUAUUGACGUUAGACUUCAGAAAUUAUACAUGUAUCUUCUUGCACAGAUCAAUAUCGUUCUGCCAGGAAUCGAAUGUAAGCAACACAUCCCACUCUAGGCAAUCAGCACUGCAGCUCUGCUCCUUGUCUGCACACAUACUCUCACAACUUCACAUCAUUUUAGCUUCUUUUGCUGCCUUAUCUGCUUUGGUUCAGUUGGGACAGGGUAACAGUCCAGAGCUUAAACUUGGACACAUUAAGAAUUUAGCGAGAUAAAUAUUCAGAGGUACUUCAAUGCAAAAUGCAGCCUGUUCUCAGUCUCUGAAUCUGAAUUUAACCCGUUCGGAGUUAGCGGCUGAAUAACGGCAUUUGGUGAAAGAAAUUCACAGCCCUGUAGAGCUGCCCCCAAAUGAAUCACAGUGCUCCCAACAUCAAAGGCAAAUUCUCUGUUCCACUCUUAUUCUAUUGCCUCAUCAUUACUAAAGGAAUUGAGAUAAAAACAAUGAUCAGUCAAUUAUAGAACAUUAAAAAUCCACCAUCCCAUGAAGUAAGGGUGAGUUGUUUUUCUGGUUGACUGCAAAUCAAGGAGGGGCUUUUUGCAUAUGCAUUGAUCUAGAUAUCAUUCUCUGCAUUACUAAACUGUUACAAAAAAGAAUCAGAACUGAGCUCUUCACUUGCUUCAAAAAUUCCUUCAACUUGCUUAAUUAGUUCCAAAGAAUGAAACAUAUGCAUUUAAAAUGCUUGUGGUUGAAGCAAAUCAAAAUCUAAAAAUCAUAUGGUGUCAAGUCAAAAUAUAUUGUUGCAAAGAUGGACAGAUGAAAGAUGAGAGGUUCUUUUUAUCUUUGAGUUGUGUGUUAGUGCUGGCAGUGAAAUAACAACAGAAAAUGCUGCAAACACUCAGCAGGUCAGCCAGCAUCUGUGGAGGAAGACCCAGAGUUCAUGUCUCAGGCCAGUGACCUUUCAUCAAUACUGGAAUAUGUUGGAAAUGUCUGGCAGAAAGAAGAGCGGUUAAUUCUUCAAGAUGGACAUUGCCGAAAGUGACGUGGCAGUGAAUUAAGAAAGAGCAUGGAAAUCUCAUUAGCUGCAUUUUGUGUUACUCUGUUGCAGUACAGUGUCAACUUUAUCUUCACUGUGAAUACUUAAUGAAAGGAUUGGCGGGGGGAGAGGGUUGUGAGAACAGAUGAAGCCAAUUUAUUCUUAUCAGAAUCAAAUAGUUUUUAGACCAAAACUUGGAUUUAAGAGUCAAGAACUUCUGUGGGGUGGUGCUACUUUAACCAACUCAUUUAAUCAAAAAGAGGCUAAACAAGCACAUAAAUUGGGAGAAUUUCGGUCACAGGUUUAGGCAAGUUGUGCUGGAGGAUGCCCUUGCCUAAGAAUUGUCUAUGCUUCCCCAUGGGGAUAAAUGUAUUACCACAGUAUGUCAAGUCAAAUUAAGUUUAUUGUCACAUAAAUGGACAGUUACGCACAGCUGCAAUGAAAACCUUACUUGUAGCAGCAUCUCAUACACACACACAUAGAUUUAG